This is a non-coding RNA of Vicugna pacos (alpaca), 1973 nucleotides long. The record is from RefSeq and is a predicted model, not a curated record. NCBI's taxonomy places the organism in Eukaryota, Metazoa, Chordata, Mammalia, Artiodactyla, Camelidae.
CUCUUCCAGGGGUGGGCGGGGGGCCUGCCCCCGGGGAGACAGCUGGCAAGGUGUGGAGCCGCUCUUCGCUGGCACGGCUUGGGGGCACUGCGGCAGAGCCGGGGAUGCUGCUGGACACCCUGGUGCCCCGAGGGCAGCCCCACGGCAAAGAAUGAUCCGGUCUAAAACGCCAGGAGCUGAGGGUGAGAAGCCCAGUCCCAGAGGAAGAGCGUGGGCCCUCCGGUGCUGGCUCUUGGACGGGCACUGGCUGCCUUCUCGCCUGACACCGAAACGUCAGCGCUGAGAAUCUGGUCUGGGAGCAGCGGAAGGAAUCCCGGACUCGGGCUGAGGCCACAGGAAACUCUUCAGAGCUGAUUAUUUCCUGCUGGUCUUGAGAUGAAAAAUGAUCCCAUUAGCCUUAGAUUCCUUCCUGGUGAAAAGAGAAAAGAGCAGGUUUCCACGCGGAUCCGAAGGAAGACGGCGAGCCUCAAUUCAUUCAACCCAUCAGCAUUCGUCACUUACAGAAAAGGAGAAUCAAGAAAUGUUAAAACAAAAACUAACCAGAAAAGAACAUUUACACGUCACCAAACACACCAUCUCAAACCGAGUACAGACUCUGGAAAUGGAAUACGGGCUUGCAGAAACUAUGACGUGGGGCUUGAUCUGGAAUAAGAAACAGAAGAAGCUGAGUCUCUAACCAUGAAACACAGACCCUAGACGGAGGCUGUAAUCUUGGAGCUAUAUUAAGACCAAGCCCUUAGAAUCAUUGCCCUGGGCCAUCCUUCUGUCUCUAAAGCUGAACCAAGAAGUCGGCAUCCCACAGAGCUGGUGGCCGCUGAUCAGUAGCUGUUCCCUUGCCUACACUGUGGCUUCCCAUCAAAGAACUGAAAGAGAAAGAGCCAAGGCAGCAGAGAAGGAUCUGGGGAUAAAAUACGUCAAGACCUCUUUCUGUAGGAACGGUUUCAAAAGGUCUUUUGAAAGACUAACUAAGAAUAUAAACUACCAUGUAUUGCCGAGACCGUGCAAUAGGGAAGGGCAGUCUUUUCAACAAGCGGUGCCUGGAAAACUGGACAUCCACAUCAAGAGAAUGAAGCUGGACCCUCACCUUACACCACACAAAAGUUAACUCAAACUAGGUCAAAGGCCUAAAUGUCAGACAUCAGUGGGAAGCUGAGGACAGCUCAGAAAGGAACUGCUCACAGGGGUGGGCGGGACCUGGGGGGGGCACCCGGGAAGGUGUGGAGCCUGGGGCUGGGAUCAUUAGCACCCCAGGGCCCACCUGGGGUUGGCGGAGGAAACAGCCGAACCCCGGAGAGAGCUGGACACAGAGCAGCAGCUGAGGCCUCGGGAGAGGAACACAGCCAACCCACGGAGGCCCCGCGGGGAGCUGGGGAGACAAAUGCCUCAGACCUCACUCAGAAGAAACCCAUUCUGCUCCCUGGCCCACCGUCAUCAAGGAGACUCUCAUCACGCUGCCUCCAUGCCAGCCUCGGCCGGCGUCCAGAGUCGCCCUAGGAGGCAGCUGCUGUCCUCCCGAGUCACCAUCAGCCACGACCCAUGCCCAGGGGGUUUGCUCACGUCCCUGACGGGGCCUCUGCGCGACCUUUCUCCAAAUUAAGGGAUGGCCCAGAGAGCUCCACCAGCCGCGUGGUCCUCACCUACGGCGUGGCCAGAGCGGGGCCUCUUACCCCGGCCGGGGCCCUCAUCUUCUCGUCUGGGGUAUCCCCAGUCCCAAGACCCUCCUCUGAGACCCCCCACUGUGAACCAUCCAGCCCCUCCCACGAGGCUCGAGCCAACACCACUUUCUUGCCAGGCCUUGCUGAUACUCACCCCUCCAAGCCUGGCUUCCUGCGCUCCCCUGACCGGUUCCACCUCUCUCCUGACGCCCCAGCAGCCCACCCGCCCCAUUCACGGUCUCUGGCUCUGCUCUCCCCAUCUUGCCCACCACCGUUAAUGCCCACUCAGCAGCCAGAGGGGUCUUUAGGAAACGCAAA